GCAAGUCGAACGCGAACGGUUUCUUCGGAAACUUAGUAGAGUGGCGCACGGGUGAGUAACGCGUAAGUAAUCUACCCUGAUAUCUGGGAUAACAAUUCGAAAGGAUUGCUAAUACCGGAUACGUUGAUUUAUCAAGAAAGGUGGCCUCUAUUUAUAAGCUACUGUAUCAGGAGGAGCUUGCGUACCAUUAGCUAGUUGGUGGGGUAAUGGCUCACCAAGACUAUGACGCCUAACUGGUUUGAGAGGAUGAUC
Molecule: ribosomal RNA, 252 nt
Filed under: uncultured bacterium
Lineage: Bacteria
Description: partial 16S ribosomal RNA
Rfam family: Bacterial small subunit ribosomal RNA
Source: RNAcentral